AUCUAUGGCCAUACCAACCUGAACACACCCGAUCUCAUCCGAUCUUGGAGGCUAAGCAGGGUCAGGUCUGGUUAAUACUUGGAUGGGAGAAAUACUACAACCAAGCUUUUGGUUCCAGUGGUC
RNAcentral lists this ribosomal RNA (123 nucleotides) under Oryctolagus cuniculus (rabbit). The record is from RNAcentral. Lineage: Eukaryota; Metazoa; Chordata; Mammalia; Lagomorpha; Leporidae.